Molecule: RNA transcript, 902 nt
Organism: Phycodurus eques (leafy seadragon)
Lineage: Eukaryota; Metazoa; Chordata; Actinopteri; Syngnathiformes; Syngnathidae
Gene: gadd45bb
Gene name: growth arrest and DNA-damage-inducible, beta b
Exons: 5
Source: RefSeq, a predicted model, not a curated record
AUUACAGCCAACAAACACGAAGUGCACUCGUUCUGCACGUUUCGUUCUCCAUGCAAGCAUGAGCCCAGAGUGGAGCUUGACUUCCAGCGUCACGGACAACAGGAUGCAGUCGGUAGGCGUGGCCCUGGAGGAGCUGCUGGUGACGGCACAGAAACAAGAGUGCCUGACGGUCGGCAUCUACGAGUCAGCGCAACUUCUCAACAAGGACCCGGACAGCGUGGUCCUGUGCGUGCUGGCCGCCGACGGCGACGAGGCGGACGUGGCUCUUCAGAUCCACUUCACGCUGCUGAAGUCGUUCUGCUGCGACAGCGGCAUCACCAUCCUGCGCGUAUCCGGCGUGCCGCGACUCCGCCGGCUGCUCGGCGGCACCGACCGGGACGGAGACAUUCACUGCAUGCUAGUCACGAACCCCCAGGCUGACCACUGCCGACUGCAGGAAGUUGGCAUCUACUGCCAGGAGAGCCUGCGCGUGGACCAGUGGGUACCUGAGCUGGCCCUGCAGGAGCGUUGAAACCAAACGCAAACAAAAGCGGAUGUUUGCGGGUUUGCUCCCGGUUGAACUUGUCAACAGCUGUGAAAAGGGCAACUGCAUCCUCCUCCCACGUAAACGAAUAAAAUGAGGCUGGAACUCAGGACGCACGACAAAGCUGGACUCCGGGAAAUCGGUUUAUGGAGGAGCCCGGCGUGUAUUUCGAAGAAUGAGUCAGCAACGUGGCAAAGACGGCACGACGAGAAGGCGGACUGACAAUGGACCAAUCCGAACGCUCGGCAGGUAAGAUGGCCGCCACUGCCGUCGCAUCGAAUGGUUUGAAUAAAAAAUACGGGGCGACAUCAUACCUUCAUUGCGUCGCUACCUUUCACACAUGACAACGACCAGGGAAAAAGCCGUUGCUGACCGGUAG